RNAcentral lists this ribosomal RNA (807 nucleotides) under uncultured bacterium. Its description in RNAcentral is "bacterial SSU rRNA". It matches the Rfam family "Bacterial small subunit ribosomal RNA", at positions 8 to 826 of the family's 1533-position model. The record is from RNAcentral.
AGAGUUUGAUCCUGGCUCAGGAUGAACGCUGGCGGCGUGCUUAACACAUGCAAGUCGAACGGACUUUUAUUGAAGCCUAGCGAUAUAAAAGUUAGUGGCGGACGGGUGAGUAACGCGUGGGUAACCUGCCGUAUGCUGGGGGACAACAGUUAGAAAUGACUGCUAAUACCGCAUAAGCGCACAGAAUCGCAUGAUUCAGUGUGAAAAACUGAGGUGGCAUACGAUGGACCCGCGUCUGAUUAGCUAGUUGGUGAGGUAACGGCUCACCAAGGCGACGAUCAGUAGCCGGCCUGAGAGGGUGAACGGCCACAUUGGGACUGAGACACGGCCCAAACUCCUACGGGAGGCAGCAGUGGGGAAUAUUGCACAAUGGGGGAAACCCUGAUGCAGCGACGCCGCGUGAGUGAAGAAGUAUUUCGGUAUGUAAAGCUCUAUCAGCAGGGAAGAAAAUGACGGUACCUGACUAAGAAGCCCCGGCUAACUACGUGCCAGCAGCCGCGGUAAUACGUAGGGGGCAAGCGUUAUCCGGAUUUACUGGGUGUAAAGGGAGCGUAGACGGCAAGGCAAGUCUGAUGUGAAAUACCGGGGCUCAACCCCGGGACUGCAUUGGAAACUGUUUAGCUAGAGUGCAGGAGAGGUAAGUGGAAUUCCUAGUGUAGCGGUGAAAUGCGUAGAUAUUAGGAGGAACACCAGUGGCGAAGGCGGCUUACUGGACUGUAACUGACGUUGAGGCUCGAAAGCGUGGGGAGCAAACAGGAUUAGAUACCCUGGUAGUCCACGCCGUAAACGAUGAUUACUAGUGGUUGG